RNAcentral lists this ribosomal RNA (359 nucleotides) under uncultured Latescibacterota bacterium. RNAcentral describes it as "bacterial SSU rRNA". It matches the Rfam family "Bacterial small subunit ribosomal RNA", at positions 1025 to 1382 of the family's 1533-position model. Lineage: Bacteria; Pseudomonadati; Candidatus Latescibacterota. The record is from RNAcentral.
AACCAGGAGACAGGUGCUGCAUGGCUGUCGUCAGCUCGUGUCGUGAGAUGUUGGGUUAAGUCCCGCAACGAGCCGCAACCCUUUAUCCCUAGUUGCCAUCAGGUAAAGCUGGGAACUCUGGGAGACUGCCGGUGAUAAACCGGAGGAAGGCGGGGAUGACGUCAAGUCCUCAUGGCCCUUACAUCCCGGGCUACACACGUGCUACAAUGGCAGGUACAGAGGGCUGCGAAGCCGCGAGGUGGAGCGAAUCCCAGAAAACCUGUCUCAGUCCGGAUUGAAGUCUGCAACUCGACUUCAUGAAGGCGGAAUCGCUAGUAACCGCGAAUCAGCAGGUCGCGGUGAAUACGUUCCCGGGCCUU